AGUGAACGCUGGCGGUAGGCCUAACACAUGCAAGUCGAACGGCAGCACAGUAAGAGCUUGCUCUUACGGGUGGCGAGUGGCGGACGGGUGAGGAAUACAUCGGAAUCUACUUUUUCGUGGGGGAUAACGUAGGGAAACUUACGCUAAUACCGCAUACGACCUACGGGUGAAAGCAGGGGAUCUUCGGACCUUGCGCGAGUGAAUGAGCCGAUGUCGGAUUAGCUAGUUGGCGGGGUAAAGGCCCACCAAGGCGACGAUCCGUAGCGGGUCUGAGAGGAUGAUCAGCCACACUGGAACUGAGACACGGUCCAGACUCCUACGGGAGGCAGCAGUGGGGAAUAUUGGACAAUGGGCGCAAGCCUGAUCCAGCCAUACCGCGUGGGUGAAGAAGGCCUUCGGGUUGUAAAGCCCUUUUGUUGGGAAAGAAAAGCAGCAGGUUAAUACCCCGCUGUUCUGACGGUACCCAAAGAAUAAGCACCGGCUAACUUCGUG
RNAcentral lists this ribosomal RNA (492 nucleotides) under uncultured bacterium. RNAcentral's name for it is "partial 16S ribosomal RNA". It matches the Rfam family "Bacterial small subunit ribosomal RNA", at positions 29 to 507 of the family's 1533-position model. The record is from RNAcentral.